AGCCUGUGCCAGGGCAUCACCACCCUCACAGGAAAGAAUUUCUUCCUAAUAUCCCAUCUAAACCUACUGCCAGUUUGAAGCCAUUGCCCCUUGUCCUGUCACUCCAGGCCCUUGUCAAGAGUCUCUCUCCACCUGUCCUACAGGCUCCCUUCAGGCACUGGAAGGUCACAAUGAGGUCUCCCCAAAGCCUUCUCUUCUCCAGGCUGAACAAUCCCAAUUCCCUCAGCAUGUCUUCAUAGCAGAAGUCCUCCAUCCAGCAGGUCCAUGUCCUCCAUGUGCUGGGACCCCAGAGCAGCUGUACAAGCUGCACGAGAGGACAAGAACACAGGACUGGGCAGCAAAGCAGGAGCAAGAAAGCAGAAACCUGGACUUAGCUCUACAUUCUGGUGAAAGCACACCCAGGAUCCACGGGCCAGUCCUUGCCACUCCAGUGUAGGUGUCUCUCCGUGUGUGACUGCGAAGCACUCCUCACACAGAGCCAAGUGCUCCCUCGGCAGCCCACACACACCAGCAGCAGCAGAGCAGGGGGGUUUUACACCCUCAGUCCUGGCUCUCUGCUAGGAACGCGUCUGCUGCCCUCCCAGGUGAGAAGUGAGCACUAGGGGUAUUCUAAUUGGAUCCACAACCAUUUUCAAAUGAGUGAUUGUUUUUAUGGUUUUAUGUUUCCUUGUCUCAUUAUUGCCACUGACUGUGCCAUUCCAGUGAACCCACAGCCAGCCUUCUUCCUGUAGGAAAGGGCUGGCUCUGAGAGGGUGUUGCAUGGAAGAGAGGUGAAUUAGGAGGCAGCCCCUGUGACCAACUCUGAAAACAAGUAACAACACGUAGGAGAUCCUCAGAAAAGCCCUGGAUAUCUCCUCAAACCACCUGCAAAGUCUAGCAGGGAAAUACUUCAAAUGUAAGGGAAGGGGAAGACAUUCUUGUGACCUUGUCUUUCAGAUCAAGCUGUGAAAAGCUGUAUAAAUCAGGAGUUAAAAGGCUGUUACUGAUACACAUCAGUCUUAAAAAUGCUUUUUAUAACUAGCUUUACCAAUCAGUACUACCUUAUUUCAAGGUUUAUAGUAGUAAUUACAGCCCAUAAAUGUUGUACUUAAGAUUUAGCAUUAGUUCCUAAUACUGUCAUUAACACAGCAUAUUAUAAAAAAAAAAAGGUAGAGCCAUACAGGUACAAACUUAAAAAAAUUAAGAAACAGCACACACUGAUGAAUACUGAUAUUCUCUAUUUCAGUAUUAUUUCCCCUUCUCUGUCAAUGCGCAAAAAUUACAUCCACCUACUUUCAUGUUCAGUACACCUUCAGUACACAAGUGUGGAUUAAUUUAAAGCAUUCAUUUUCUAUCAGCUGAGAAAUAUUAAUAACAUUUCUUUGAUGCAUUAUUUAAAAUAUUUUUCCCAUUUUAAUAAACAAGUUUCAAUCCAUAAGAAACAACUAGAGAGAUUUUCAUCCUUCCUCCCUCCAUUUUAAUUUUUCUGCGUAUGAAUGAGGGGGCAGAGUCUGUUUCCCAACACCACCCUUCCAGUUUCUCUAAAACUGCACUCCUUGCUGGCUUCAUGAUCUUCAGAUAUUAGCUGAGCAAUCAGGAUCCUAAGAUUGCCUUUUGGAAGUCUUUGAAGACAUAACUCUGUCUCCUCUUGACUGGCCUACAGCUUCCGUUUGCUCAGCCCUGUGGCAUGUAACACCACUUCUCUCUUUCCCCUCCCAGGUCCCACCUUAUCAGAUGGCAAUGCUGAGGAGUAAAAUGAGGUCUGUGUGCCUCAAAUUCACCCCAAGCUCCUGAAUUCAGUGUGGCAGUGAGAAAUCAGAGGAUGAGGCAACUUAAUAGUGGCCUGUAACAGUGGAAAAUUGAGCCAAUAAAAUUUCCUUCACUUUUUUUAUGACACGGUCACAAAGCAACAUUGCUGGCUGAGAAAUGCCAAGUCCUCACGUCCCCCGGCCUACACAGGUGUGCAUGGCAUAUUCUAAUUGGACUGGUGCACACCUUCCCAUCCAUGAGAGACUUCCCCCAGGAAGCUAUAGGCACCAGGCAAAUGAAAUCGGAGACUCGGCUCCUUCGCCUUCCCAUUACCUGCAACACGCUUUGAUCAGCGGGGCAUAAAUAAACACAUAAAUGUCCCAUCUCUCCCAAGGUCAAUGAGAUGCAGCGGAGUUCCUCCAGUCACCUGAAGGAGUUCAUUGGACUAGGCAUGGGGCAAAAUGCUUUGCUGUGCUUAAAAAAAAAAUCACUGGAUGUAACAGCAAAGGGUAUGAUGAAGUUUGACCACUGUAGUUUGGGAAAGCUAAGAGCAAUAGAGAGCCUGAAGGACAAAGGGUUGGGAUUGUCAGUGGACCAUGCCCAAGAAGGAGAGAAGAGCCAGAGCUCUCCUUCUUGCAGUCCUCUUCCCAAACACCUUCCUAUAUGGAAAAUUUGGUCUAACCUCUGCCAGACUGAUGCACUUGAGGAACCCAGCUUUCAGCACAGAUCUUUGCUGCCUAUUCAUGAAGCCAGCACCUCAGCUCUUCCACUUGUGCCAGCAAAGGUGCAGUUACAGCUAUCCCCACAGCAGGACAUGCAGCACUGCUGCUUUUGAUGCAAACAUGGGGAAUACCCCAGCAUUCCAAACCUUUGGCUAUUCCUGCACUUGCCCUAACAGAAGGUGGCAAAGAUGCAUCCUGCUGUUUUAAGUCUUGCCUCUCCUCAUGGCUAGGGCUUAUGAGCAGUUAAACAUGGGUGCAGUCAGUAGAAAUUUCAAGCUAGUGGGGCCCACAUAGCUGUUAUCAUCAGUCACAUAAUCCAGGCUGGAAGGGGAACACACAUUAGGAUUCUGGGAGCUCUCCUUCCUACAGUGCCCCACUGCAGUCAUUCACUAAAAGGAGUUUCUACAGAAGACUUAGAUUGUAACCGGUUUUGGCAUAUUUUAGGGCAACCAAGAAUGGCCCCAUCCUUCAGAAUUUCCAAUUCUGUAUUCUAGCUGUUUGCAGCAGUUUCUGCCUGUCUGAGGGUCAUCUGUGCAGAUGGGGUAAUAGUAAACCCUCCUACCUCCCAGCCAUACUCUGAGGAUUAGGCAGGGAGUGGCUGCUCAGUGUACUGAAUAUGCAAAGGCCUGUUAUAAACCCCAUAUCUGAUUGCAACCAUAAGCAAAGUCUUAUUUAAGCAAUCCCUUCCUCAACAAAAAUAUAUCAGCUGCUCACUCUAUUCUUUCCUUCCAUGUCUUUUUUGCCUCCAAGUUCUUCCAGAUAACAAAACACAUUACUAAGAUAUUUUCCUUUUGUGCUGUAAAGUUGUUUACUACAAAUAAUAGAGAUUUUUUUCCCACAAUGUAGUGUACAUACUUAGUUGUUUUGGCUCAUUCUGGUAUCACACUUGUACUGGAGGAGUCUCACUGCCCAGUCAGUGAAAGCCUCACUCCCAUAAUCUCACACAUGUCAGAUAUUCACAUUCUAAUAGACAUAUCUAAUAGGUCUAUUUCUCACUGUGCUCACAUUCAGGGGAGACCCCUUCUCCAAUUCCAUCAAUUUUAUGAACUUAGGACAGAGAGCAGCAGUUAUUUCUUGCUCCCACUAAACACAAAACUGUAUUUCUCUACCAAACCAUAGUUUAAUACCAAGCUGGUGUUUUUGCAUGUAAUUUGCUUGACACUUCUGUAUUUCUCUCCCACAUCAGUUAAUAAUUUUUUUCGCCUUUUAGUGCAUUUUGUUCACUCUUUUUAGCAAUCACAACAAAACCUUUUACAAUGCCACCUUUUAAAUUAAGCUUUCAAAGGCAACGUUCUAGUAAAAUGCAGUUAUGAUACAUUUCAGAGCAGAUUUGCUUCCAUACUGCCUUGCUGAAUGUGAGAUUUCUGAUCAUGCCAGUUUUCACUGCAUACACAAUGCAGUACAUCUUGCCUUUUCUUGUUCUGGUCUCUUCUAAAGUCAUUUGGCUAUGACUAUCAGAGUCAGAAUCAAUCCAUCUUUCCCCUUUUACACUCAGAUGCUUAUUUUCAUGUCUGAUAUCACUGUUAUCACCCACUCAGCAACUGGAUAGGCAGAAAAGACGCUGGUAGAGAACUCAUUGUGCAGGGGCAGAAGACAAGAUGAACUGUAGGAGUGAUGCGAGAGGACAACUGCCUUCCCAGAUGGCACCAAAACAAGCAGUGUUCACCCUGUGCCUACAGGAAUGCCCUACAGCCUCCCGCACAUGCCCUGACAGAAUAUUCCCUCUUCCCAACUGUGCCCAGGGAUGAGAAGAGAGUGACAGGACAGGCAUGUAUUCCCUAUACACAUCACCAUUUGCUAUUAAGAAAUUACUAUGUGACUUGAGGGUAAACCCAUCUCCCUCAAUCACUUGCACAAUUAAGAAAACAUGCCACAACCUGUAAUUUGUUGUAAAAAUAUGGGAUGGUCCCACUUCCCUUUGCCUGUCUCCCCACAGCAUCCUCUCUCUGCCCCACAGUUUGUCACAGCACAGAGCCAUAAAAGGGCUGUGUGCUAUACUGCAGCCUUGCCACUGCCACCCCCCUUGCCCAUCCUGAAAUUCUGCUUGCCUAUAACCUGAGACAUGCCUUUCCAGGAGAAAACACCUUGCCUUGGAGUUGGACUUUAGUGAUCCUUGUGGGCGCCUUCCAACUCAGGAUAUUCUUCAGUCUUGUGGGGAGGAGUAGAGAAAGGAGAGAAAAGUGCAGCAUUCUCAAAGCACUCUAAGAUCUACCAGCUCUAUUGUAUCCAGACUCAAGCCUGAGAUAUCUUCACGUGCAAAGCAAGUCACAGAAAAAGAGAACAACCAAUGAGAAGAGUUACUUGAACCAUGAGCCAUACCAACUAUCAGGACUGAAUCCUCACUGUUCUAAAUACUGUGCACUGCUCCUGUCCUGAAGCGCUGGCAGCAUACUCAGAACACCCUUUCUCCCCUAAAUCCAGCAACAGACUGGAAAUAGACACAUUGCACUUUCACAACUUCACCAGCAGCCUGGCAGCCCUCACCUGUAAAACCAGACUGUGUUCUUGGAGCACCUCAGAAAGAAGAGUGACUCAAAUCUUGCAGAUGGAUUACAUUUCAUAGUCUAGAGCUACCCUUGGAUGCCUGCACUAUGGAAUACCUACAGCAAAACAAUCUGCAUCUAAACUCAGGCUUAAUCCAAGGAUUUAGCCUGGAGCCCAGACCCACUAAUGACAUCUGAUGCUACAGCAUCAGAGCUUUGCUAUAGGCAUCUUUUUCCUGUGAAAGCUAUAAUCUUCCCAUCUAUUCUUUCAAAGUUUCCACGAGCCCCUCAUCACAGACAUCAAUCUCUAGUGAAGAUUUAAGGCCCCAAGUAAGAUUUAAGCUAUUCAAAAAACCUCUGUAGGCAUUUUUGAUCAUUACACCUGUAAAGGUGAGUGUAAAGCACACAUACCAUAUAGCUUACACAUCCUGAUUUUUCUGCCACUGCCCAGCAAGGUCACGGGAAAAGCGUUUUCUUCUACUCCUCCCAACAGUGGCCUUAGUGUUAGCUUAACACUGCUUUGUGCACCUAUUUCUAUUAUCCAGUGAAUAUGCAAGUGUAGCCAUGGCAGCCACUUUGUGGCAGAUGUAAACAGGGACCAUGUCUAACUAGUUACAGGUCUGCUUGUAACCUACACUCAUGUCCCCUGAUUAUCCCUGGGCUUCUGCAACCUAAACAAAUCAUGCCCUAACAUAACAGGAUCCUAAUCCCCUCCCCUGCCUCCACAGGGGUGUAUUUUGGAUUCAUAAACUCUACUGCUGGAUUCAUUGAUGAAGCAGGAGCUUUCCCACCCCUCACCUCCUUCAGUCACACCCUGUGCAAGGCUGGGUCUGCUCACCAGUGCACAGCUCUGCUCUGCCCAUGGAGGGCAGCUCGUGGAUCCCACUGGGCACCACCCCAGCCUGGCCCUGGUAGAGAUUUGGGAAUUUCUGUGUAUGAUCAGCAUUAGGAACCCCAGUGUUUAAUGACUCUGAACACCAGCAAGGUCGUGGGCAGUCAAUCUCACACACUCAGCCCCUGCCUGCAGGUGGGUGUUCAAUCUGAGAUCACAAAAAGGUGGUUUGGUGUCCAAAUGUCACACAUUUCUCUGUGACACUGCAAAAAGGAUAUGUUUUCAGGAAGGGAAUUUAUGGCCAUCUCUGCUUGAAUGCAGUAUUCUCUCAGCAACAGGUUCCUGUGCUUCCUCCCAGCUGAGUUCCCUCCUUGUGUGCUAUCCAAUUACAGUUUCUUCAGCCACUCCUCCUCAACCUCUCCUAGCAUCAGAACACCCUCUAUUUUGUAUAUGUUUACAUAUGCAUGUCUGUUUAUCUAUGGACAUUUGUACACAUGUCAUGGUAAUCACCUUCCCUCUUCUAAAUUUUUCCCACUAUCAAAACGAAUAACCCUCCCCCUGACCUUGCACUGAAAUUGUACUAAAGUCAUGAGAAUUUCUUCUUCAACUUCAUCUCACUUUUAAUCCAACCACCCAAACAUGAGGUCAAAGCAAGUCUCCACCACAGGCUCUGUUCCUCAUCCUGCAGUGUUCUGCAUGGGACUUGAAGGAAUGGUGUCUAAAAGAACAGAUGGGGAACGGAUUUUGUCUCAGCAAACCAAUUCUACUCCAAGGGCAAGAAAGCUGGAGCCACUUGUUAAUGAAAAAGACAAGAUGAAUGAAGCUUUCCCAAAAGGGCACCCCACCUUGCUCAGCACUCACAUCUAGAAUGCAUGAAUGCAUUAACUUACAAUUUUUCUGCACCAUUUAACCCUACCCUACAUAGCAGUGUGUCACAGCCAAGACUCAGACCUUCCUCUUACACUAAAUGUUCUUUCCCACACAACAAAUUUCAACACGCACUUCUUGACCAAAGACAUAAAAGCACCUGACCUAAACCCAGUCCUGGCUAAACCCAGUUCUCCCAAGCCACACAACAGAGUUAAUCUGCACUACUGGGUAAAUCACGGCAGCUGCUCUUAUACGCCAGCUGCAGGAGGAAAGCAAAAAGAUACAGUGCCCUCUAUGAAGAUUUAAAGGUAAGGCGUGCUUGCGACAGCUCCUAGUUUUACCAACUCUUCACCUUGCCAAAAGGAGUUCCAUCCUCUGCCCUUUUAUCUCCUGGCAGUAGAGGUGCAUGUGUGGUCUCACAACAAACCGCAGCAGAGAACCAGCAGAGAUGACUACAGGCAGGCACGACAGCUUCUUUCAACAGCAGUGCCAGCUGAGAGGAUUUGUGCAACCACAGCCUGUUUAUCCAAGCACAGAAAUGUAGGAACUAAAUGUGUGAUUCCCUCUGGCAUCUAAUCCUGCUAUUGGAAAAGGUGGUCCCUCACCACGUUUCUCAUGUGCAGUGUCAUGCUACACUUCUUCAGAAAUCUCUCUGGCCACAAGGCAGAUGAAUCCAACUUCUAUACUUUUUUUCUUUAGGGAGGGGGGUUAAUAUUCAGUUGGAGCAGUGACUGGACUGAUCUGAGGCCACAUGGUCACCAGAGCUGAUCCCAGCGAAGCAGCAGUAGCUUGCAGUCAGGACUGGAUGCGAACUGGAUCGUUCCUUCAGCAGCAGCCUGUUGUGCUGCUGGGCUGCUCAUCAUGUGAAGCCCAGCUCCAUGCAACACGAGUUAUUCAAUCACAGUUCCCAGGAAGCCCUGCCUGCACAGAGACACCAGGCCAGGCACUCUCCAUCACUGCUCUAAACUACAUUGACCACCCAGACUCCAGCUCCACAGCUGCCUCUUCCCAGAAGGAAGAGCUCAGCACAGCUAACAGCCAUGGGCUUGCAGUACAACAGACCAUCUUUUAGCUGGAAUGUGUCAUCCUGGCAGCAACAGGCUUUCAUGUCAUCCUGGCAUGAAAACUCGUAGCAAGACUUUGUGGUUAGGAGCAGGCUGGACAGAUGGAGAUAAGAAAUUAGUGAGGGUAAUCAGCCAUUGGAAUAAUUUACCCAGGGAACCAGUGCAGCCCAACCUGAUAACUUGAAAUCAAGACUGGGUACUUUCCUAGUAGAAUUUUGGAUUUGAUGCAGUGAUAACCAGCUGGGAAUGUAAAUACCUGCCAGGGGUCAGGUGAAGGUAUCUGUCCCCAGCUGGCUGAUACUCUGAAAAUCAACUGUGUGGUUACCUCAGGAAACAGGGAAAUAACCUCUCUGUAGGACCCAAUUGUCAAAACAAUAGAGCACAACUGCAUUUGCACUGAAGUUACUUCUGAGUACUUCAUUAAAAUAUUCAACAGGAGCUCAGUGAGGAGCUGCAAAUCGGAAAGGAAUUGCAAAACUUCCCAGGCAAAACCACUGAAAUAAACUAGCUGUGGAUAAUUUAGCCAAACAGUAAACACUUAGAAUCAAACAGCCUUAGAAAAAAAUGUGAUUCUAAUUAAGAAUUGGAAAUCACUUGUGGGCUGUUCCUUACAUUUUCCCUGGGAUAACUAUGGAGAGUGAAUGUAAUAUGAACAUAAACUAAUUAAAUAAAGCAGCCCAUUUUAAACAAGACUCCAGAGUAGAUUACAUUAAAAAGAAAAAAAAAAAAGGAAAUUAAAAAAUCAUCAAAAACUAUAGCAUAAUUUGUCUCUUUCCUGCUAGAAAGCACAUGAGAUAAGUGCAUUAUAAGAAAGGAUAAGAUUCAACAGAACAAGCACAAGAACAUCCACCUAAAGUUAGCAGAAUGAAAAAAAAAAAAGUCUGCAGAACAGACAUACCAUCAAAAUCUACCAGGAUGCACAAGAAACUCCCGGAGGAAGUAUUUGUGUCCCACUAUUUCAGAGAGCACAAGCAUCAACCUCAAGCCCAGUCGCCUGCUGUCACAAGCAACUGGACUGUAUAACCCCACUGAGAUUUAUCCAGACCACGAGGCUGCUGUACAGGCAGGACAGGACAAAUACCACCCUCAACCACCACCUGGCAAAACAAGGUUCUACAGAAGCCAGCUGAACUCUUCCUAACAUUAACAAAAACAAAGAAGAACUCAGAUUUGUUCCAACUUCAAGUCUGAUUAUGGAUGCCUCCUCCUCACCAAAUUCAGGCGCAGUUCUGAAAUCUGGGUCACCCAUAUAUUAUUUCUCCAAACCAAGCCACCUCCCUCCAAUGCAACCCUUUAAAAGGACUCUGCCCUUAUCCAAGCCAUCUCAGUCAUUUAGGUUAUGAGAAACUUCAAAACACCAAGGAAUCAGGUCACAAAACUUCCAACAACACAUUACACAUGUGGCUUGGUCCAGGCAGAACAGACACCCAGCUCCAGGAGAAGCCAACACGGGCAUCCACAUCCAGCAGCACCCCGGCAGAGUCUGCAACAAGUCAACAAAAAUGAGCUGAGCUCAGAUUUUUGACCCCAUAAUUCCUACCAGGUUUGAUGCAGUCUUAACCAAUCUCUGGGAAUAAACGAAGCAUCAAGCAAGACAAACAUGGGUGCUGGGAGGACAGUGGGUCAGGCCAUAAAAGUCACGAGGCAAGGAAGAAAACAAGGAGGUGUCCAGAGUCCAAGCACAGCACCCCCGCGACUCCCGGGCGGCAGCUCCCGGUGGGAGCUGAAAAACCGGCAAACACCGUGCGAUCUUGCUCCUGCGUGGGAGGCACCAUUUCUGCGGGUAGAGGCUCUUACUGCUGCUUGGCAGCUGAGCCCGGUACCGGGCCUCCGCUCCGGGCCCUCCCUGCUGCCGGCAGCGGGCGGGGGACCGGGGGUGCGGCGGGAGGGACGGGCGCUGCCGUCGGGGAGUGGAGCCCCCGCCAAGGAUGCGGCCUCCCGGGGCGGCCCCGGACCGGGCGGAUCGGAGCCCCCUUCGCCGUCCCCUCGGGGAGCACCGGAGCUCCCGCGGCGCCCGGGACCCCGAGGGGCUCCGCGCCCCGAUGGCGCCCGCACCGCGCACCCGCACUGGGCCCGCCGCGGGAGGAGCGACGCUCGCCUUCCCCAGAGAUCCCUCCUCCCGUCCCUCUCGGGUCCCAAAAUGGUGGGUCGGCAUAUCUCCCUCUCCUUCCUUCUCCCCCUGGUCCCGUCCCCCCGCUCUGCCCGCCCCCCGCUCCCGGAGCCCGCCCGUCGCCCCCGCCCUGGUCCCGCGGGGCAGCCGCCCCUCCGUCUGUCCUGGCCCAGGCUCCGCGGGGAUCCGGCACCAGGCCCGCGCCUCUCCCGGGAAUACGCCAACGCUGCCCCCGGCGGCCGACCUUACCUGCGCCGGGCUCACAUCGCGGGACCCGGGCCAACGGUGACCCUCCCCGGCGCCCCUCGGCCGCCGCCUCGCUGCCGCCCUGCGCGGGGCCGCAGGUAUAUCAUGAGUGCCGAGCGCGGCUCCAGGUGAGCCGGGCACACCUACAGGAAGGCAGGCGGGCCGCCCUGAUUGGCGUGCGAGGCCGGCGGCCGCGCUCCGACGGCACCGCGGCGGGGCAGGGCAGGGCAGGGAGGCCGAGGGGCCGUGGAGGACACGGCGGUUCUGGCCCCGCUCCUGUUUCUGGGGCCGGCCGGCCACAGGCCCUGACACGUCCGAGCGGAAGGUAGGCCACUUACCCUGUGGUCAUUUCUUCAGGCUUUCUGCUCCAGCUACGAACUCUAGAAAUAAAUUACUGUAAAGGAAAGGUGGAAUAUGGACAAAGUCACACCACUGCAGAGGAGGAUAAACAAAGCUGAAAUGUGCUUCCCUCUCUGUUCAGUGUCUUUGUACAAGUCCAGGAGGUGGAGAUCUCCAAGCCUGGAUGUGUGAUCCUGUAGUGCCCCCUCGUGGAAGCUGUUCCUGAUGCUGGUUCCUGGCUGCAUCCAGCUGAGAGAACCUGCACACAGAGCUGCACUGACACCACGAGCAGAGCUCAUGAGGAAGUGACCACAAGUACACACAGAAGAGGAGAUGAGGCUUUUGGAAGAAAAGAAGAUGGAACCAGAGCUCCAAUGGCAUGAACAAAGUAGUACAAACCUGGCAGCUCCACUCCUCAGAGGUACUUAGCAAGAGAUAAGCACCGAUUCCAGCUGUGUGACGUCCGCUUGAAAAAGAUGCCUAAAUUGAACCUCUUCUGAGGGUACUCCUCGUGUGCAAAAAAGGGUACAUUUCUGUUUAAUGCCUUUGUUCUACUUUCUUUUAACUCCCUGCUGCUCCCCAGGCUCCUGUUUAAUGGCAUGGAUUGCAUGGGGGCAUUACCAGCUUGAGGAAUCCUGAGGUGUUCCUUACCACCCACCCAAGACUGCAAUUUUCCCUCACUUGUGCCAGCCAUGCUGUUUGUGGAGCUGUGCUGAGCACUGGAUCAGGGAAGCAAUCCAAAUUAAAAAUAACCCAGUGGCAUGGCUGGCAAUGGCAAGAGCUUUAGCCAUCCAGGAUAAUCUGCAGUCACAAAUCAGCAAGAGCUGUUUGCUAUUUCAGAUGUCAUGAAAGCCCAGCCUCAGAGAUACCUAUUUAAUACAAGGAAUAUGAACCUUUCAACCAGUGAAGGAGCCUGGGGAAUGAGGAGGCAGGAAUCCUUUGCCCAUGUUCAUAAGGCACACAAGAGCAAACCUCACUGUGCCCAGAUGGCAGCACAAAACAUCUUCACACAGGCUUUGCUUUAGCAGUCCUUCACAUGAUGCUUUUGGAACAAAGGUUAGUGGCAGUGUGUGCCAUUCCACUGAUGGAUGUUCUUUAUUCUGUGGGUUAGGGAGAAAGCUAUGUGGAUUUUUAAGGGUACUGCAAAUAUGGGGGCUGUGCCAUCACCAAGAAAGGGAAUAAAAGAGCCUUCUUCACAGACAGCUUCAUGGUUCAGAGUGAAGUAACAAUUUGUGGAUGCAUUCCAGAAGAGGAUGUAUUCCUCUGCUCUAGAGAAACAAUGUCACGACUGUGAUGCACCAGCAUUAACAUUCAUGAUCACACCAGCAGUGACAUUACUGUCACCUACUGACAGACUUGGAGGAAGCAUCUGUAAUUAGUCAUUCUCUCUUGUAUUCCAAGCUAUGUCUGGUUUUCUUCUGGCAUCUCUCGAGUUCAUGCUUCAUGCCUCCCGAGUUGAGUAUUUUAAAGUAUCAGUCAUUUCCUUUUUCUUUCCCUCCUGCUUCUGACUUGGCACUUCACCUCUGCUCGCCCCAGGAAUGUUCCUGCUGGGAGGUGACUGACUUGAGCACUGAUGGUGAAGGUGGUGAAUUCAGAGACUCAGAGCCUGAGGAGUUUCAGGAUCUCUUCAGGUUACAUUUCUAGAGAAAGGAACUCACUUUCUCUCCACAUGCAUUAGUGGCUCUGGUCAAAACAAGGUGGAAGAUGCAGGUGAAACCACAAUCACAUUGGCAGCUGCAUCCCAAAUUAGCCAAAGGAAAGCAAGUGCCUGAAGCUUAGGGCAAGAUGUGGCUGCCCUGAGGCAAACCCUGAGUGCUUUCAAGCAAUCCCUGUUCUCAGAACAGCCCUAACAGGUAAUAUCAAGGCUGACCAUGCCAAGGAACUUGGAUUUAAGUGUCCAGACCAAAUACCAUCAUGUUUUACCAUCUUCUUUCACCUCUCUAAAAAUAUGAGGAGCUGUGUUCAUUGAUCUUAAUUCUUCCUUCUGUACACACAGGAAAAAUGUUCUAUUUCAGCCCCUUGAUCCCUGCAUUCCAUUGCUGCUUCCCUUUUCCCAAUAAUUGUUAAAAUACUUUUUUUUUCAGUAAAGCAUUUUGUGGUUCCUGUUUUACCCUAUGUUCACAUAAAGGCUUGAUCAUAUGUACAAAGAAUUGAGAAGAUGCCUGAAAUCCCUCUAAUGUGUAUUAUAUUUUUCCUGUUUUGUUUGGUAUUUCUGUCUGAAGGCAUCAGGAGAAAUCCAAAGGUCGUCUGUUAAAGAAAUCAGGCAAGAAAAGAAAGUAAUUGACCAGCAAAGAGGCACUUUCUUAAGCACAACAGCCAGGUACAAAGCUGUGGGAAGAAACUUCCCAGUCCUUGUACAGGAAAAGAUCUGCUAAGGCUGAGAAAAGGGACAUGGAAGGAUACACACAGGCCUGUCAAAAGCUCUGUCAUCUGUAAAAGCAGGGGCACAUUCUGUGUGCUUGGAGGUGCUCUGGGGUAAGCAGGGCAAGGCUGCCCUUUUGUGAGGGGAGACACUGACAGAACAGGGAAAGCACAAACAUCUCAGCCACAGGCAGGCAGAGUUCAGCAGCAUUGUGGAGAAGGUCAGCUGGAGGGAGAGACAGAGCAGAAAAUGUCCCAAGACAACACAUGAGCAGCAGGGCAACUGUAAGAGCUCUGGAAAGCAAAAAGAAGCAAGUCCAGGUAUGAGAGAUCAAUGUGGGAUCUGGAAAGUUGUGACCUUUCUUCCAUGCAGCUGUUAUCACCCCCAAAUUACAUUUUCCCAUCAGCUGCAGGAAGUCCAACCCUCCCCCAGUCUUCCUAGUUGUUCAUCCAAUUUCAAUCCCUUCUACUCUCCCUUCCCCUCAUGUGGUCGCCUGGUUCAGCCAUUCACCACCGCAAUGGCAAAAUGUUUUGUGACACCUUGACUUUGGGUCUGUUGCCUCUUUUGGCCUCCCUUUGCUCAGUCUUCUGAAAUUUCCUUUAGUUCCUUUUUUUUUUUUCCAGAGAUGGGGGCUCCUGCUGAUGUGUCUCUGGCUAUUCAGACCAGUGUUGCUCAAGUUAAGAAGAAACAGAGCCUAAAGGAAAAGUCUCCUGUGCAUGCAGGGACACUUUUGUUUGAUACAUCUCAAAAAACUGUUUUAGAGAAUAGGCAUAAAAAUACUUCUAAAAAUUUACUGAACACACAAAAACACACCUCUUGUCCAAGAUCAAAACAAAUCUGUUUUUUCCAGUCACAAUGAAGCAAAGAGUGUAAAAAGCUGUAUUUCAGUCAUCACUAUUACAUGUAUUUUUUUCCUAGCAGCGGACUGGAAAACUGGAUCCCAUAUAACCCAAGUGGCACUGAGAAAACAGCCUCCUCAGAACCAGGUUCUUCUACCAGCAGGAUGGUAUGUCACUGCAGAGGAAAAAAGACAAACCACUUUCCCUUAUAAAGGAAAGGCCUGGACCAGGAGCUGCACCUUGCCUCACACCCAGACCGCACCCAAGGAUGCUGCCAGCACCUGUGGCCCUCUGUGUGGCAUAAGGAGAAGUUGUGACUGAAGCCUUUCCUGCAGUGGCAGCAUCUGAAAGGUUUCUCCUCCAGUGGGUGAGGGCAGAGCUGUCACCCAAGCAGGUCCCACCCUUGGCUCGCUGCUGCCCUGCAGCAUCCCUGCUCCUCUGAAGCCUUUCUGGGACCGAGUCUCUGGGAGAAGGGACGCGUUCCUGUUACAGCUUGGAGGAGAAGCUGCCCUCAUGAGAAAGUCCCCACAGAGCUCUGCUUCCCCCAGCCCAUCUCACUGGAGACCAGGCUUUCCUUAAACACCUCCAGUUGACUUCACCUCCUCCCUGGGCGCCUCAUCACACUUUCAGUGAAGAAAUCCUUCCUGAUGUCCAACCUGAACCUCCCCUGGUACAGCUUGAGGCCAUUUCCUCUAGUUUUGUCCUUUGUUACCCAGGAGCAGAGCCCAACCUCCACCCUGCUGCCCCCUCCUGUCAGGGAGCUGAGCAGAGCCAGAAGGCCCCCCUGAGUCUCCUUUUCUCCAGGCUGAGCUCACCCAGCUCCCUCAACCACUCCUCAUCAGAUUUGUGCUACAGACCCUUCCCCAUUUCAGUUCCCUUCCCUGGACAUGCUCCAGCCCCUCCUCAAUGUCCAUCUCACAGUGAAGGGCUCAGAAUUGGACACAGGAUUUGAGGUGUGGUUUCACCAGUGCUCAGUCCUACAGCCUCUCCUCUGCUAUGCAGCCUUCACAAGUUCCUUUGCACUGCCACAUUUUUCUGUUGUCUCAGCUGUUCUCUUCACCUGACACUCCCUGGCAUCUCUUUAUAACACAAUUGUCUCUGAUUGGGCCCUCACAAUGCUUCAUUCCACCUCCAGAAAAAAGCUCUGGGGAGACCUUACUGUAGUCUUUCAAUAUAAAUAGUUUCCACCUUUCAUGUAGGCUCCCUUCAGGUAUAGCACAGGGUAAAAUCUUACCUGUCUUUUCAGAAUUUGCCAAUGUUUUAAGAACCCUCUGGCUUUUCAGGUGGGGCAUUUUGGACUUACCCCAUGGCUUCAGUGGGUUUUAUUCUGCCAGCCAGCCCUGGCAAGACUGCGACAGAUGUCUGCCUGCAUUUGAGUGCAAUGCAGUUUCCUUGAGUACCCAGGUGGUGGCAGAUUUGGAGUAUAUUAAAUCAGUCCUUUCAACCUGUUUUGCAAUGGAACCAAACUUUUUCUACAGGGGUUAAAGAUGAAAUUGUUACUCUUUUAUUCCUCUGACACCAUUUAAAUGGCUUCCAUUUAAAAUGGGAAUUCUCUGCUUUCAAGUAUAAGUAGUCUCCAAACACAAGUUAUCUUCUAUUUGCUGUUCUUAUUCAAUAAAGUUUGAUUUAGCAGAAAUUGACUAGACUUGUUGGGGAAGGGCUAUUUAUGACUUUCUUUAUGUUUAAAGUAAUUAAUUAAGUGCUAUUAAUUUAAAGCAUCUGUGUGUGGAUUUAAUUUCUGUGUCUGCUGUAUGAUGCAAAAUAUCCAUAGUAUUUAAUAAGGUCUCCAUAGAAUUUAGGGGGACACCAGCACAUUAAAUAACAUGGCGCUUUCAGAGGGAGGGUGGGCACAGAUGAUGCCUGUGAUAGUUUGAUUUCUUGCUUUUGUACAUUCCAAGGAACUUCUUGAGUUUAGUUCUUUCUUCAAAUGCAGCAGCUAAGCUGUGACUGCUGCACAAAUUUUCCUGGAUGACAAAUAUAGGGUGAAUAUUUUCAGUCUCUUUGGGUUUGUGCAGCCUUCUCUGGUUUUUGCUCCUGUGGGCGUCCCAGCAGCACCACUGGAGCUUAUGUUGUGCUGAUACUCACCAUGGCUUUUGAAGUCUUUUCCUGAGUAUGUGCAUCCUAUGAUAGAUUCUCCAUUCCUGUAAGUGUAGUCUACCAUCACCGAAAAUUAAAUCCUCUGCCUCUGAAAAAUUCACUUCAUAAUCCUUCCUUGAAAAACAAGAAAAUCCUCAAAAACCAGGGAGCCUGCCAAAGUGCAAAAUGCAUCUACAAUAUACUACCCAAACCAAAAUGCACGGAGUAAAAAUAAACAUGGUAAAUCAAGCUUUAAUCCCAGUUUUAGACCCCUUUGAUGCUUUUCCAAUCGUUUGUUCAUCCCAAUUUUUCAAGUGUUUCCAGGAAGCAUUAAUUCCAAUAGCCAUACUGUGUGUAACCAUGCUUUGUGCAAUGCCUUAAUUUCCUUGGGAAUAUGGUGCGCUCUCUUUUGUCCUGGAGAUUUUGGAAAGCUGAAAUUUGGGCCAUAUUCAGUAACAAAAAGGCAAAACCAUGCAAUAAAUCAUGCUAAAGUUCAUUCUCUAUGAAAGUGCUUCCCAUUUGAGAGAAUUGCAUUAAUGCUGCUCUAGACUGAAAGUUGUUUGUGAUAGGAAACACCAUUUCACUUUGUAUUUGUAUAAAUAAAACACAGUUGUAGAUCCCCACCUGCUGGGUUUUUUGCAUAUUGCUGCUAAAAUUAGACCAAACUACUGAAUUUGAGAGGAAAAAGUCUGGCUGUAACUCCUGCUUGUUAAGGAAAGAAAGAACUGUAUAUAAUAUUCAAGCUGAUGAACUUGUCACUCUGGUGACCAUGCCAUUGAGAUCUUGGGCACAUUCCCAAUAGCUCUGCUGAGACGGAAAAGCAGCCACUUUCGCCUGGGUUGGAAGUGACCUCAAAGAUCAUCUAGAUCCUGCCAUUGGAUCCUCAUCAAGGAAGACAAGCUGCAACACAGCCAUGUCUCUGUUAUCUGUUUAAGCUCUGUGUAAGUGAAGGGCAAAUGCGCAGCUCCUUCCCUUGCUGGUGUUUCAAGUUUUAUGAUUUGGCUCA
Molecule: RNA transcript, 16677 nt
Organism: Motacilla alba alba
Lineage: Eukaryota; Metazoa; Chordata; Aves; Passeriformes; Motacillidae
Gene name: translation initiation factor IF-2-like
Exons: 6
Source: RefSeq, a predicted model, not a curated record